ACUGGGAUGGAGAGCCUAGCGGGUGUCCCACCUCUGAUUGUGUAAGCGACUUUAUCUUCUGGGGUGACCUCCUACCCUUUGCAUUUUGUCUCUUGGGAUAAUGAAAAACGGACCGAAACUCGAUGCCAAAGUAGAUUGUUCACGCUGAUUGGCAGGGAAAGUGCAAACAAAGAGGUGCAUCUUCUGGAAACAAUGAUUUUUGGCGAUUUCACCCAGUCGACUUGUGCGCGUUAGGGAGAGGGGCGGUAAAAGGGUAGGUGGGUGGGGAGGGGACCAGGACAGGCAUCUCCUAGGGAAACUUUCCAGCGUGGUAGUGGGAGGACAGGGUCGGGCAGAGUUGCGCGUAGCCGGGGACUGAGCAGCCCCAGCUCGCCUCCGAGGUUCCCAAGCCGGGCGGGAGAUUCGGGGAGAGGGAGGGGGCGGGGAGGGGAAGGGAGGGAGAGAGGAAGAAGGGGUGAGAGGGAGAAACCUGCCGCGGCUCGCCGCCUCUUUGUCUGCUCUGGGACUUGGAACAAAAGGGGGAACUCUGAUGAACUCUCUCGCCUCCCCUCUCACCCAGACGCCGGGUAUAUCCCUCUCGCAACUUUGCCGCCUCGACUUUCUCCGCUGUCAGGCCACAAAAAAAGUGUCUCAGCGCCUUGCGGACUUCAACAAGGGAAAUGUCUCUUAAGAGUGCGAAGAAGUGGAGAAGAAGGUUUAACUGUUGUUAUCAGCAUCUAGAAAGCACCAUUCAGUUGCUGGAGAACUUUCUAACACUGACUUUCUCCAUACUGGAUCUAUGAGUGGACAAUAUGGAACUGCCGUUAUAACCUCAAAUCAUUCCUGGGUGAAAAGUUAUCAAACUUCUUCAUUUGGAGUUACUUGAAAGUUAAACGUUGUUGUUGUGUUAUUUGAUGAUGCCUUCACCAUGGGGAUUACUACAUUUUGAUCACUGGGAAUACUCCACCUUAAAGAAGGAAUUGGCAACAAUCUCAUUUCACUGGUGGGUUUGCUGAAGCAUUGUGGCAAGACAGCCAGAAUGAUUGAUGACUACUCUUCAGGUGUGAAUCAUGGCGAUGCGGUGAGAGACAGUGAUUUACUGCUUUGGAGGACAUGCAUGUGUAUGAUUAAAGGAUAUAAGUGCAGGGCUCCAAGAUUUACUUCCUUCCUGUUCCAGCAGGGACACCUGAAGGGAGUGAGUAAUGGGGUAAUUUAUAACACCACAGGCCCUUCGCAAGAGACCACGAGUGAAAACAGAGAGAUAAAACUCAGAAGGUUUCUACCAAAAGACUACAAUUUUUGACACUCUCUGGACAUUCCUCUCAAUUGCAAGUAGUAGAGACUUCAGAAUUUCCUGGUUGUCUUUUUUCAGGGAGAUUCCCAUUGAAAAGGUUAGUGUGUCAAUACGGAUUAAAUCAUGUAGAUAUUUUGUAAAUGUUAUACAUCUUUCCUGUAUGUUUUUUCUUCUCCUUGAUAUUCUUAUGUUGUUGGGACAUCAAAGAAACUUAGUAGUCUAGUUAUAGACCUCAGGGUGUUUUUUAAAAGGUCAAGGAAUACCAAGUGUUAGAAGCAUAAUGACAAAUUCAGCAACAUGUUUUUUUUUUUUUUGGAGGGGUGAGGGGUGUUGGGCAGAGCUUACCAAAUACUGUUGCUAUCGUGUGUGGUCAGGUUGAUUGUGACUCAUAGAGACCCUAUGUGACAGAGUAGAACUACCCCAUAAGGUUUCUUAGGUUGUCAUCUUUAUAGGAGUAGAUUGCCAGGUCUUUUCUCCCACAGAGCAGCUGGUGGAUUUGAACUGCUGACCUUCCACUCUGAAGUGGAGCGCUUAACUGUUGCACCACCAGGGUUCCUUUGCCAAGUACUAGUGGCCUAUAUGUCUUAGAAUCUUCUCUUUUAAUUUAUAGGUACUUCACUCCAGUUUUGAGUUGAUGAGAUGAGAGAUGGGGUGAAUAAAGAGUUUCUUUCCCAGUUGUGUGUGUGUUUAGGGCAGGGAGGUUUAGCUGGCCUUGGAAAGCUAAUCCAGGAAUUUUUUUUGUAAUGCAAGCAAAUAUAUGAGGAAUUGAGCAGGAAACCUGGUACUGUUCAAAUGGUUUGUUUCAUCACCAGCAGCUCCUCAUGCCAGAGUCCUGGCACGGCUGCUAACAGAGAGGUCAGAGGUUCCAACCCACCAGCUGCUCUGAGGCAGAAAGAUGUGGUAGUCUGCCCCUGUAAAGAUUUAAAAAAAAAAAAAAAAAAAAGAUUACAGCCUAGGAAAUCCUAUGCGGGCAAUUCUAGUCUUUCCUAUAGGGUCACUGAGUCAGAAUCACUCAAUGGCACACAACAGCUCUUUGUGAGGGCUUCAGUGCAUUGUGUGUUUUCGUGCCUUUUAAAAAUGCAAGAUAUAGAGCUUCAAAAAAAAAAAAAUGUUCUAAAAUUACGGUAUAUCAUCACUUUGGGAUUGGUUAUUGUCCAGAGGCUUACGGCAAUACCUAAUUUGAUAGGUUCUUCUGACUUGUAAUUGUUAGUAACAUUAGAUUCAUGAAAACUGAGUACCACAAUGUCCACAUGUGAUAUUUUUAUCUCAAAAAUACUAACUUCACCUACACUUUGGAAUGUCUUAGUGGUUGGCAGUAGACCUGUUCUAUUAAAGAUUGUUUAGAUAACAUUGGAAUGGCUCCAAGCUCUUCCUUCUCUCCCGUAUGCUGUAGGUGACUAAAACAUUCCCAUAAAUAACUGGCCACCUUUUGAACUGACCUUUCAGUUCAUAUGAUGUAAAUAUUGAUGGCCUUGACAUUUCUUGGUAUGUGCACAGUUCAAGAGGCAUAAUAUCUCCAUAUAACUAAAAGCAGGUGGAAGAAUGGGUAGACAGCCAUGGGCUCUCUGAUAACCAUAAUUCAGAAGCACCCUUGCCAAAGUCUUGUUUUUAGACUUUGUGCAGGGAGAAUGUCUCAUAAGCAAAGUAGUCUGCAAGUUUAGGUCCUCUUGGCAUUUCUGUAGCCAAAUAUUCCUGGAUCAAACAAUGUUAAUGUGUGUCCUUAUAAUAAAAUGCUUUCUAGAAUAAAUACAUAGUCGCUCGAUCAUUCCUCAUUAUUCGUAGAUUCCAUAUUUGCAAAGUCUCGUAUUUGCUAAAAACGUUCGAGGCCUUUUUUUGGUCGUUCACAGGCAUGCACAUGUGCAGAGCAGCAAAAAAUUUAGCGGAAGUCAAACAAGGACAGUUCCGGUUUUGAUAAUUUAGGGUUCCCUGGGAGUUUACAUAGGGUCGCUAUGAGUCCGAAUCGACUGGAGGGCAGUGCGUUUGUUUUGUUUUGUUUUUGUGACUUUACAGCUACCGCGAAUAUUUAAGUGAGUUUCCUCCCCCGCUUUGGAAAUUAAGAACUUCAGUUCUCCUAGCAGGGUGAUAAGGUAUAGUAGCUAAGUGCUUGCGUUCAGGAGCAGACCUCCCAGGCUCAAAUCUUUAUUGUACCAUUUACUAGAAAUGUUACUUCAGGCAAAGUAUUCAAACUCUUUCAGCCUCAUUUUCCUGUUAUUAAAUGGGGAUGAUAAUAAUAAUGCUUGGAGUCCCUGGGUGGUCUAAGCUCUUAACAUGGUUGGCUGCUAACCAAAAGGUUGGCGGUUAGAGUACACCCAGAGGUGACUUGGAAGAGAGGUCUGGUGAUCAUUUAAGAAAAACUAGCCAUUGGAAAGCCUGUGGAGCAUAGUUCUACUCUGAUACACGUAUGGCCACUGAGUUGGAAUGGAUUCCACGGCAACUGGUGUUGGUAAUAAUAUUUACCUUUUAAUUUUUUUUUCCAGAAUGAAAUAGGGCUAUCCAAUUAACACUUUAGUGAAGAUUUAUUUAAGAGUUAGCUGUUAUUACCAAGCUUUCAGGUAUCCUGUGACCACAGGAUGAAGCUGAUAAGAUGAAGAGCUUAAAAAAAAAAAAGUAUACCUGGGGCCUCACACUCCUAGAGCAUAUAUAGUCAGUUAUGUGGAAAUCAUAUAUGGAAAAAAAAAAUGAGGAUAUAGUUCUGAUUUUACAAAAUAGUUUAACAAGUUUUGUUUGACUAUUGGUUUUAAAGUAAUCUUUCUGGUUUUAUGUAACGUGUGUAUUAGAAAUGGGAACAUUAGAACACUUUGUUGAAUUGUCAAGCAUUAUUGGUGGCCCUAAUUUAUACACCCAUUGUGCUGUAGUUUUAGGUGCAGAACUCUCCCCUGUGGGGAUUAUUAUAGCACAGGUGGGCUUGAAAUUACUAUGCUUUACUUUGGGUACUUUUUUCACUAAGAAGUAUGGACGCCAUGAGAUGAUACUUACCCAUCUGUCUAUCCAAGCAUUUGUAUGUAUAUUACCUGAGCGCUUAGGUGCACCAUGGAGAGAGGGGAUUUAAAAUGGAGAAGAGGAAAAAAUUGAAAAUAAAAUAACAUGAUGGAAAUAACAGAAACCUCUUUGCAAAGAAAACCUAACUGUUGUUAAUAGCAGAUUUAAUAGCCAGUAGCAAAACCAUACACUAUUGUCUUUAAGAAACAGAGCCGAAGCCACAACGUUGAAAACUGAAGUGCAAAUCUGGAAAUCUGCCAGCAAAGUCAAGCAGUGCAGGCUUCUAAUACUCAAAUUCAGGGGGAAAAGAAAAUCCUUUUGAUGAAGUAACUUCUUAUAUUGAUUGUAAGCUGUCAGUGUUUGAUGGGUAGAUCUUAAAACAUUAACUGAUUAAAUUGCUCAGUGCUAGGCAGUCAUAGUUGUGGCCUCCCCUCUUCUGAGCUUCCAGAUUUGUGUCUUGACAUGUGAGGCAUUCCCUAAAUGAGGGGACCGAGCAGAGUGGAACAUUUUGGCAUUUACUUGAUCCUUAAGAGCACCAAUAGAAAGAAAGACGUCGAAUUCAGUGGAAAUACUACUUAUUGGUUGCUUAUGCGUCAUAUCACCUAUUAAAUUGUCCUACCUCUUAGAAACACUCCAUCUACCCAAUUCUUCUUUGCUAGUCAAAGGAGAUGCAAAAAUACUCUGCACCCCUGGAGGAGAUGUACAUUAUUGGAGAGGCACCCAUCAGCCUUUUUUAUACCAUUUGGCUCCUCUCCAGCUAUUCUGUGUUAUGCUUAUGGGCUCUUACAGUUUUCAUUUCUGCUUGGGGCAUGAAAGAAGUGUUUUUCUUCCAUAUUCAGUUGUCUUAAACUUAUUUGUAGUCUUCCCCUACCCCCAAGCACAUGUGCUGCCUUAGGUCUCUUUCACUCCUGUGCUUGAGUAAGGUCUGGCCUCCCAUGAUUCCUUGUUUCUGUUUGUUGUUGUUAGGUGCUGUUGAGUCAGUUCUGACCCAUAGUGUCCCCAUGUACAACAGAAUAAAACACUACCCAGUCCUGUGCCAUCCUCACAAUUGUUGGCUAUGUUUGAGCCCAUUGUUACAGCCGUUGUGUCAAUCCAUCUCACUGAGGGUCUUUCUCUUUUUUGCUGGCCUCCUACUUUACCAAGCGUGAUUUCAUUCUCCAAGGACUUAUCCUUCUGAUAACAUGUCCAAAGUAUGUGAGAUGAAGUCUCGCCAUCCUUGCUUCUAAGGAGCAUUCUGGCUGUACUUCCUCCAAGACAGAUUCGUUUGUUCUUCUGGCAGUCCGGGGUAUAUUCAAUAUUCUUCACCAACACCACAGUUCAAAUGCAUCAAUUCUUCUUCUUUCUUUUACAUUGUCCACCUUUCACAUGCAUAUGAGGUGAUUGAAAAUACCACGGUGUGUUUCAGGGGAAAUGAUUAAGAAAGGAAGGAAGGAAAAAAAAAAAUGGCAUGGUUUCUCUGCGCUCUUGAAAACCUGUGGGCUGAUAACAUUGUGGCUUCCCUGGGUGCUGCAAACAGCAAGCGCCACUGCUAACUGAAAGGUUGGAGGUUGGAGUCUACCCAGAGGUGCCUCAGAAGAAAGGCCUGGCAACCUACUUUGAAAAAUCAGCCAUUGAAAAUCCUGUAGAGCACUGUCCUAGUCUGAUACGCAUGGGGUCCCCAUGAGUCAGGGUCGACUCUAUGGCAACGGAUUUUUUUCUCAGUAAUAUUUUCUUGUGUUUUUGGUGAAAGUUUACACAGCAAGUUAGGUUCCUGCUUGACAAUUUCCACAAAAAAUUGACCAAUAACAUUAGUUACAUUUUUUACAUUGUAUCAACAUUCUCUUUAAUUGUCUUCUGGUUAUUCCAUUUCCAGUA
Molecule: long non-coding RNA, 6106 nt
Organism: Loxodonta africana (African savanna elephant)
Lineage: Eukaryota; Metazoa; Chordata; Mammalia; Proboscidea; Elephantidae
Exons: 4
Source: RefSeq, a predicted model, not a curated record